UACGGAGGGUGCAAGCGUUGCUCGGAAUCACUGGGCGUAAAGGGCGUGUAGGCGGUUUCGUAUGUCUGGCGUGAAAGCCCCGGGCUCAACCCGGGAAGUGCGUUGGAAACUGCGAAACUAGAGUCUCGGAGAGGAAGGUGGAAUUCCAGGUGUAGCGGUGAAAUGCGUAGAUAUCGGAAGGAACGCCGGUGGCGAAAGCGAUCCGCUGGACCUCUUCUGACGCUGAGGCGCGAAAGCCAGGGGAGCAAACGGG
This 253-nucleotide ribosomal RNA is filed under the name uncultured bacterium. Its description in RNAcentral is "partial 16S ribosomal RNA". It matches the Rfam family "Bacterial small subunit ribosomal RNA", at positions 524 to 776 of the family's 1533-position model. The record is from RNAcentral.